UGGGGAAUCUUGGACAAUGGGCGCAAGCCUGAUCCAGCCAUGCCGCGUGAGUGGAGAAGGCCUUAGGGUUGUAAAGCUCUUUUGGCAGGGACGAUAAUGACGGUACCUGCAGAAUAAGCCCCGGCAAACUUCGUGCCAGCAGCCGCGGUAAUACGAAGGGGGCUAGCGUUGUUCGGAUUUACUGGGCGUAGAGCGCACGUAGGCGGAUUGUUAAGUGAGGGGUGAAAUCCCGGAGCUCAACUCCGGAACUGCCUUUGAUACUGGCAAUCUUGAGGCUGGAAGAGGUUGGUAGAAUUCCCAGUGUAGAGGUGAAAUUCGUAGAUAUUGGGAAGAAUACCAGUGGCGAAGGCGGCCAACUGGUCCAGAUCUGACGCUGAGGUGCGAAAGCGU
RNAcentral lists this ribosomal RNA (390 nucleotides) under uncultured bacterium. RNAcentral describes it as "bacterial SSU rRNA". It matches the Rfam family "Bacterial small subunit ribosomal RNA", at positions 355 to 762 of the family's 1533-position model. The record is from RNAcentral.